Molecule: RNA transcript, 1808 nt
Organism: Beta vulgaris subsp. vulgaris (sugar beet)
Lineage: Eukaryota; Viridiplantae; Streptophyta; Magnoliopsida; Caryophyllales; Amaranthaceae
Gene name: hsp70-Hsp90 organizing protein 3
Exons: 8
Source: RefSeq, a predicted model, not a curated record
CUAUACGUUUCGCUAAAUUUGACAAUUCUUCUCUAAUCCAAAUAUCCAAUACUAGAUUUUAUUUUUUUUCUUAAAAAAACUGUUAACUCCUGUGUCUUGUCAAUUGGGACUUGGGAGGAACCCUAAACCUUAAUUACACACUUCCAAGUUCCAGAUUCUUAGUAGCACAGAACUAAUUCCAGGACAAAAAUGGCUGGAUCAGAAGCAGCGGUGCCCAGUACAGGAGGAGGUGAAGUAUCCCUCAAAGAUCAAGGCAAUGAAUACUUCAAAGCUGGUAAUUUCCUCAAAGCCGCUGCCAUAUAUACUCAAGCCAUCAAGCAAGACCCUAAAAACGCCACUCUUUAUAGCAACCGUGCUGCAGCUUUUCUUAACCUUGUCAAACUCACCAAAGCACUGGCUGAUGCUGAGAUGACAAUCAGUCUUCGUCCGGACUGGGAGAAGGGUUACUUUAGAAAAGCAUGCAUCUUGGAAGCCAUGGAGAGAUAUGAUCAGGCCUUGGAUGCAUUUCAAGUAGCAUUACAUUAUAAUCCACACAGUACAGAGGUAUCAAAGAAAAUCAAGAAACUUUCGCAGUUAGCCAGAGAUAAAAAGCGAGCUGAAGAAGUCGAAAGUAUGAGAUCUAAUGUUAAUGUGGCUAAACACUUGAGUACAGUGACUUCUGAAAUGGCUGAAAAGUAUGGAGGUGAAGAAUCAUCUAGAGUUCUGUUUUCAUUUCUUGUUGAAACAAUGGAGAAUGCUGUCAAAACAUGGCAUGAAACCUCAAAAGUGGAUCCAAGAGUCUACUUUCUUCUGGACAAUGAGAAGACGGAUACAGAGAAAUAUGCUCCUGUUGUAAACAUUGAUAAGGCAUUUGAAUCACCUCAUACACACAGCAAUUGCUUCUCAUUUCUGAGGCAGUAUGUCGAGGAUUCGUUUGCUAGAGCUGCUUGCUUAAUCACGCCCAAAAGUCUCAUAUCUUAUCCUCAGGUAUGUGAUGCAUAUGCAGGUCUGGAAAGGCCAAGGAUUUAGGAAAUGGAAACAUGGGCAGAAUGAUGGAUUCUUUGUCCAAUUUGAGUCUCCUUAUGUACGAAAGCUAUGGUUUAUCCCUUGCAACAGUGAGAAAGGAAUGGCCUUGUGCAGGGAUCCCGAGGCUUUGGACAUUGGUGCCCAUGAACUGCUUCCACGCCUAUUUAAAUAAUCUUCAGCAACUCGUGACAGCUCUAUUGUCUUGGCUUGAUAAUCUCUGGUGAGAUUGUUGUGGAUGCAACUGUCAGCCUUCUCACGUUCUAGAUUCAGAUGACUGCAAAAACUGCUCAAGUGUCGUAAUAUCAUGUCAGGUGUCUGUUUUGUCAUGCCAGUUGUGUACGAUUUUGCUAAUAGCUCGAUCGACAAGAGUUUCACUUUGAGUGAUUGCUUGAUCUUUACUAUCUUUGGUGGAUCUCCCCCAACUUAAGAUACUUUUUAGGUGCACAUCUAAGUGGGUAAGCUGAGGAUACAGUUCAGGUCCCCAUAUGAUCGGUGUUUUUAAGGUUGUGGCGAAAUGGGUUUCAGAGCUGAUGAUAUUUCUUGUUACUUGUAUUAUUUUUGCGGGGACUUUGUUGCAAAACUUCCUGUACAUUUUUAGUGUCACAUUAGAAUUUAUAUGCUUGAUGACAAGCAAUUACUUUUUGUCACAGGUCUUAAGCGGAGGAGUUUUAGUUGUCAAAAGUUUUGUUUGCUGUGUUUGACCAAUUAGAUAUCUUACGAUGGUAUUGGAUUGAAGAUCGGAAGGCCUUACGUUUUUGUUUUAAUUCCCUAUAAUAAACAGUUUCCUGCAUAUUCUGCUAGAA